This 253-nucleotide ribosomal RNA is filed under the name uncultured bacterium. Its description in RNAcentral is "partial 16S ribosomal RNA". It matches the Rfam family "Bacterial small subunit ribosomal RNA", at positions 524 to 776 of the family's 1533-position model. The record is from RNAcentral.
UACAGAGGGUGCAAGCGUUGUUCGGAAUUAUUGGGCGUAAAGGGCGCGUAGGCGGUGCGGUAAGUCUGCGGUGAAAUCUCCCGGCUCAACUGGGAGUCUGCCGUGGAAACUGCCGUGCUUGAGUGUGGGAGAGGUGAGUGGAAUUCCCGGUGUAGCGGUGAAAUGCGUAGAUAUCAGGAGGAACACCAAUAGCGAAGGCAGCUCGCUGGGACGUUACUGACACUGAGGCGCGAAAGCGUGGGGAGCGAACAGG